Molecule: long non-coding RNA, 311 nt
Filed under: Zonotrichia albicollis (white-throated sparrow)
Lineage: Eukaryota; Metazoa; Chordata; Aves; Passeriformes; Passerellidae
Description: lncRNA (ENSZALG00000018109.1)
Source: RNAcentral
GGAAUGGACGCAUUCAAAGCCAUGUGUUUGCCAGCCAUGGUCUGUGGAGUCUGUACUGGAGAAGAAGGAGGGAGCUAUGUUUUAGGAGGGCCAGUCGGAGCUGAGUCUGGGGUGAGGCACCUGCCUGUGGCUGAGGGGCACAACCAUCCAUGCCCUGCACUGGGGACACUGGAGCCACUGGGAUCAUCUGUGCUUGGGUGUCCCACAGAGGGACAGCCCCUGCAGACCUUCCAGUGAUGCUGAUGGCACCUUGUCAGAUUGCUGAAACAUGUUGCAUAUGUCCUGUGAUUCGGCAGUGUGGACAGGACAAG